GACGAACGCUGGCGGCGUGCUUAACACAUGCAAGUCGAACGGUGAAAGCGGAGCUUGCUCCGCUGGAUCAGUGGCGAACGGGUGAGUAACACGUGGGCAACCUGCCCCUCACUUCGGGAUAACUCCGGGAAACCGGGGCUAAUACCGGAUAUGACCUCCUUGGGCAUCCUUGGAGGUGGAAAGUUUUUCGGUGAGGGAGGGGCCCGCGGCCUAUCAGCUUGUUGGUGAGGUAGUGGCUCACCAAGGCGACGACGGGUAGCCGGCCUGAGAGGGCGACCGGCCACACUGGGACUGAGACACGGCCCAGACUCCUACGGGAGGCAGCAGUGGGGAAUAUUGCGCAAUGGGCGAAAGCCUGACGCAGCAACGCCGCGUGCGGGAUGACGGCCUUCGGGUUGUAAACCGCUUUCAGCAGGGAAGAAGCCGCAAGGUGACGGUACCUGCAGAAGAAGCACCGGCUAACUACGUGCCAGCCGCCGCAGUAA
This 485-nucleotide ribosomal RNA is filed under the name uncultured bacterium. RNAcentral describes it as "partial 16S ribosomal RNA". It matches the Rfam family "Bacterial small subunit ribosomal RNA", at positions 28 to 523 of the family's 1533-position model. The record is from RNAcentral.